AUGACUGGAAAAAAAGACGAAGGA
Molecule: non-coding RNA, 24 nt
Filed under: Rattus norvegicus (Norway rat)
Lineage: Eukaryota; Metazoa; Chordata; Mammalia; Rodentia; Muridae
Source: RNAcentral